GUAACACAGGAGGAGACUGAGCAAUUUGAGCUUUGAGAUUUCACUAGGGGUGGUAUUAUUGAGUGGGUCCAUGACAGUAUGGAAAAGGUGCUGAUGUGCUUUAAAGAUUGUCUUGAAAAAUAUUGCUCUGGAGUAUGAUGCAUGAAAAGAAAAACUAGCAAAGUUCUGAAAGUCAGCACUCAUAACCUACAAGAAAGAACUAGAGAAAGUUGUAAUCACUCU
Pelobates cultripes (western spadefoot toad) is the source of this 222-nucleotide non-coding RNA. The record is from the annotation of a GenBank genome assembly. Lineage: Eukaryota; Metazoa; Chordata; Amphibia; Anura; Pelobatidae.